RNAcentral lists this ribosomal RNA (393 nucleotides) under Blastobotrys muscicola. Its description in RNAcentral is "partial small subunit ribosomal RNA". It matches the Rfam family "Bacterial small subunit ribosomal RNA", at positions 505 to 950 of the family's 1533-position model. The record is from RNAcentral. Lineage: Eukaryota; Fungi; Ascomycota; Dipodascomycetes; Dipodascales; Trichomonascaceae.
GUGCCAGCAGUUGCGGUAAAACGUAAAGGACAAGUAAUACACAUAAUUGGUAUAAAGAGUUAGCAAUACGGAUUAAAUAUUAAUCUAGAAUUUAUAAGUGAGUUAUUAUGAGGUAUAUGAGUAACGGUUAAAUGUGUCAAUACAUAUAUUACAACCAAUAAAGAAAUGAUAUAACUAAUACAUAAAUUGACGUUGAGUAACGAAACUUAGAGUAUCGAAUAGGACUAGUCAACCUAUUAGUUCUAAGUGUAAACUAUGUAUACUAAUAUUUCAUUAUAUAUUAAUGGGAUAUAAAGCUAAUGCGCAAGUAUAUCACCAGGGAAGUACUGAUUAAUCGAAGAAACCCAAAACAAUAGACGGUCUGAGUUUUAACAGUGGAUUAUGUUAUUUAAU